Molecule: ribosomal RNA, 253 nt
Filed under: uncultured bacterium
Lineage: Bacteria
Description: partial 16S ribosomal RNA
Rfam family: Bacterial small subunit ribosomal RNA
Source: RNAcentral
UACGUAGGGUGCGAGCGUUGUCCGGAAUUAUUGGGCGUAAAGAGCUUGUAGGUGGUUUGUCGCGUCUGCUGUGAAAAUCCGAGGCUCAACCUCGGACUUGCAGCGGGUACGGGCAGACUAGAGUGCGGUAGGGGAGACUGGAAUUCCUGGUGUAGCGGUGGAAUGCGCAGAUAUCAGGAGGAACACCAAUGGCGAAGGCAGAUCUCUGGGCCGUAACUGACGCUGAGGAGCGAAAGCAUGGGGAGCGAACAGG